Molecule: ribosomal RNA, 516 nt
Filed under: uncultured bacterium
Lineage: Bacteria
Description: bacterial SSU rRNA
Rfam family: Bacterial small subunit ribosomal RNA
Source: RNAcentral
AGAGUUUGAUUCUGGCUCAGGAUGAACGCUAGCUACAGGCUUAACACAUGCAAGUCGAGGGUAGCAGGGUAGCAAUACCGCUGGACGACCGGCGCACGGGUGAGUAACACGUAUCCAACCUUCCCAUAACUCAGGGAUAGCCUUUCGAAAGAAAGAUUAAUACCUGAUAGUACUUUUUCAAGGCAUCUUGAAAAAGUUAAAGAUUUAUUGGUUAUGGAUGGGGAUGCGUUCCAUUAGAUAGUUGGUGAGGUAACGGCUCACCAAGUCUUCGAUGGAUAGGGGUUCUGAGAGGAAGGUCCCCCACAUUGGUACUGAGACACGGACCAAACUCCUACGGGAGGCAGCAGUGAGGAAUAUUGGGUCAAUGGGCGAGAGCCUGAACCAGCCAAGUAGCGUGAAAAGGAUGAAGGUCCUAUGGAUUGUAAACUUCUUUUAUAGUAGAAUAAAGUGAGCCACGUGUGGUUUUUUGUAUGUAUACUAUGAAUAAGGAUCGGCUAACUCCGUGCCAGCCGCCGC